Molecule: ribosomal RNA, 274 nt
Filed under: uncultured bacterium
Lineage: Bacteria
Description: partial 16S ribosomal RNA
Rfam family: Archaeal small subunit ribosomal RNA
Source: RNAcentral
AAACCAGCAUCUCAAGUGGUCAGGAUGAUUAUUGGGCCUAAAGCAUCCGUAGCCGGCUCUGUUAGUUUUCGGUUAAAUCCAUAUGCUCAACAUAUGGGCUGCCGGGAAUACUGCAAAGCUAGGGAGUGGGAGAGGUAGACGGUACUCCGUAGGAAGGGGUAAAAUCCUUUGAUCUAUGGAUGACCACCUGUGGCGAAGGCGGUCUACCAGAACACGUUCGACGGUGAGGGAUGAAAGCUGGGGGAGCAAACCGGAUUAGAAACCCUGGUAGUCC